GCAGACACAUUCCAGCCAAUCAGCAGCAGACCCUCCCUCCCAGAUCCUCCCACCUCCUGGACAGCAUCCAUUGUGAAGCUGAAUUCAUAGUGAACUGUCCAGGAAGUGGGAGGGUGUGGGAGGGAGGGUCUGCUGCUGAUUGGCUGGAAUGUGUCUG
Pelobates cultripes (western spadefoot toad) is the source of this 157-nucleotide non-coding RNA. NCBI's taxonomy places the organism in Eukaryota, Metazoa, Chordata, Amphibia, Anura, Pelobatidae. The record is from the annotation of a GenBank genome assembly.